This 72-nucleotide transfer RNA is filed under the name Camelus bactrianus (Bactrian camel). It matches the Rfam family "tRNA". From Rfam's summary of the family: Transfer RNA (tRNA) molecules are approximately 80 nucleotides in length. The record is from Rfam by way of RNAcentral. RNAcentral also lists the same sequence under 3 other names. Lineage: Eukaryota; Metazoa; Chordata; Mammalia; Artiodactyla; Camelidae.
GAGGGUAUAGCUCAGUGGUAGAGUGUGUGCUUAGCAUGCAUGAGGUCCUGGGUUCGAUCUCCAGUACCUCCU